GACGAACGCUGGCGGCGCGCCUAACACAUGCAAGUCGAACGAGCGAGAGAGAGCUUGCUUUUUCAAGCGAGUGGCGAACGGGUGAGUAACGCGUGAGGAACCUGCCUCAAAGAGGGGGACAACAGUUGGAAACGACUGCUAAUUCCGCAUAAGCCCACAGGUUGGCAUUGACCAGAGGGAAAAGGAGCAAUUCGCUUUGAGAUGGCCUCGCGUCCGAUUAGCUAGUUGGUGAGGUAAUGGCCCACCAAGGCGACGAUCGGUAGCCGGACUGAGAGGUUGAACGGCCACCUUGGGACUGAGACACGGCCCCGACUCCUACGGGAGGCAGCAGUGGGGAAUUUUUCGCAAUGGACGAAAGUUUGACGGAGCAACGCCGCGUGAGUGAUGAAGGAUUUCGGUUUGUAAAGCUUUGUUGUUUAUGACGAAUGUGCAGUGUGUGAACAAUGCAUUGCAAUGACGGUAGUAAACGAGGAAGCCCCGGCUAACUACGUG
RNAcentral lists this ribosomal RNA (492 nucleotides) under uncultured bacterium. RNAcentral describes it as "bacterial SSU rRNA". It matches the Rfam family "Bacterial small subunit ribosomal RNA", at positions 28 to 507 of the family's 1533-position model. The record is from RNAcentral.